CCCUUCGGGGACAAAGUGACAGGUGGUGCAUGGUUGUCGUCAGCUCGUGUCGUGAGAUGUUGGGUUAAGUCCCGCAACGAGCGCAACCCUUGAUUUUAGUUGCCAGCAUUUAGUUGGGCACUCUAAAGUGACUGCCGGUGCAAGCCGGAGGAAGGUGGGGAUGACGUCAAAUCAUCAUGCCCCUUAUGACCUGGGCUACACACGUGCUACAAUGGAUAGUACAAAGGGUCGCGAAGCCGCGAGGUGGAGCUAAUCCCAU
This 259-nucleotide ribosomal RNA is filed under the name Listeria monocytogenes. RNAcentral describes it as "partial 16S ribosomal RNA". It matches the Rfam family "Bacterial small subunit ribosomal RNA", at positions 1016 to 1277 of the family's 1533-position model. Lineage: Bacteria; Bacillati; Bacillota; Bacilli; Caryophanales; Listeriaceae. The record is from RNAcentral.